RNAcentral lists this long non-coding RNA (229 nucleotides) under Elaeis guineensis (African oil palm). Its description in RNAcentral is "long non-coding RNA (EGUI_LNC056014)". The record is from RNAcentral. Lineage: Eukaryota; Viridiplantae; Streptophyta; Magnoliopsida; Arecales; Arecaceae.
GGGCAAAGUUAGAAUGGUUCCAAUCCAUUAAAAGGAGUUUUAAUGAUAUUGUGAUAGGGAUCACAAUAUAUCUCACUAGCAGAUAGGAUAGAACCUAUGGGGUCACACACAAAGAGACUUUUGACUGAUCAAAUGGUUGAAUUAUGAUUAUUAAUCAUAAUAAAAUUUAAUUAUCAAUUUGAUUAAUGAUUAAUCCAAUGCAAAAGUUACAAUUAAGUAACUUACUAAA